RNAcentral lists this unclassified non-coding RNA (168 nucleotides) under uncultured Leptodontidium. RNAcentral's name for it is "sequence contains ITS1". The record is from RNAcentral. Lineage: Eukaryota; Fungi; Ascomycota.
CAGAGUUCAUGCCCUUACGGGUAGAUCUCCCACCCUGUGUUAUUAUUACCUUUGUUGCUUUGGCGGGCCGUCUAGCUUCGGCCAGACUACCGGCUCCGGCUGGUAAGCGCCCGCCAGAGAACCCCAAACCCUGAAUAUUAGUGUCGUCUGAGUACUAUAUAAUAGUUA